RNAcentral lists this ribosomal RNA (527 nucleotides) under uncultured bacterium. RNAcentral's name for it is "bacterial SSU rRNA". It matches the Rfam family "Bacterial small subunit ribosomal RNA", at positions 355 to 901 of the family's 1533-position model. The record is from RNAcentral.
UGGGGAAUCUUGGACAAUGGGGGCAACCCUGAUCCAGCCAUGCCGCGUGAGUGAUGAAGGCCUUAGGGUUGUAAAGCUCUUUCACCGGUGAAGAUAAUGACGGUAGCCGGAGAAGAAGCCCCGGCUAACUCCGUGCCAGCAGCCGCGGUAAUACGGAGGGGGCUAGCGUUGUUCGGAAUUACUGGGCGUAAAGCGCGCGUAGGCGGACUGAUCAGUCAGGGGUGAAAUCCCGGGGCUCAACCCCGGAACUGCCUCCAAAACUAUUGGUCUAGAGUUCGAGAGAGGUGAGUGGAAUUCCAAGUGUAGAGGUGAAAUUCGUAGAUAUUUGGAGGAACACCAGUGGCGAAGGCGGCUCACUGGCUCGAUACUGACGCUGAGGUGCGAAAGUGUGGGGAGCAAACAGGAUUAGAUACCCUGGUAGUCCACACCGUAAACGAUGAAUGCCAGUCGUCGGGUAGCAUGCUAUUCGGUGACACACCUAACGGAUUAAGCAUUCCGCCUGGGAGUACGGUCGCAAGAUUAAAAGC